This 289-nucleotide ribosomal RNA is filed under the name Clostridioides difficile. Its description in RNAcentral is "partial 23S ribosomal RNA". It matches the Rfam family "Bacterial large subunit ribosomal RNA", at positions 2016 to 2303 of the family's 2925-position model. The record is from RNAcentral. Lineage: Bacteria; Bacillati; Bacillota; Clostridia; Peptostreptococcales; Peptostreptococcaceae.
CUGUCUCAACAACAGACUCGGUGAAAUUGUAAUUCCGGUGAAGAUGCCGGAUACCUGCGACAGGACGGAAAGACCCCAUGGAGCUUUACUGUAGCUUGACAUUGGGUCUUGGUACUACAUGUACAGGAUAGGUGGGAGGCUGUGAAACCAGGACGCCAGUUUUGGCGGAGCCAUCCUUGGGAUACCACCCUUGUAGUACUGGGACUCUAACCAUAGGCCAUGAAUCUGGUCUUGGGACACUGUCAGGUGGGCAGUUUGACUGGGGCGGUCGCCUCCCAAAAGGUAACGG